Molecule: ribosomal RNA, 1355 nt
Filed under: uncultured marine eukaryote
Lineage: Eukaryota
Description: SSU rRNA
Rfam family: Eukaryotic small subunit ribosomal RNA
Source: RNAcentral
GGCCAAUCAAAGCAGGCAGCAGGCGCGCAAUUACCCAUUCCCGACACGGGGAGGUAGUGACGAAAAAUAACAAUUCAAGACUCGAAACGAGGCCUUGAAGUUGGAAUGAGUACACUUUAAAAUUUUUAACGAGUAUCUAUUGGAGGGCAAGUCUGGUGCCAGCAGCCGCGGUAAUUCCAGCUCCAAUAGCGUAUACUAAAGUUGUUGCGGUUAAAAAGCUCGUAGUUGAAUCUAGGAGUGUGAGCGCGCGGUCACUCGAAAGAGCGUACUGUGCGGCGCACUCUUCUCUGCGGUUGCGCGUGUAUGUGCUCUUAACUGAGUGCAUCACUCGACUGCAAAAUUUACCUUGAAAAAAUUAGAGUGUUCAAAGCAGGCCUGUUUUGCCUGUAUAUUCGUGCAUGGAAUAAUAAAAUAUGAAUUCGGUUCUAUUUUAUUGGUUUUCGGAACUCGAGUUAAUGAUUAAGAGGGACAGACGGGGGCAUCCGUACUCUGCCGUUAGAGGUGAAAUUCUUGGAUCGGCGGAAGACGCGCAACUGCGAAAGCAUUUGCCAAGAAUGUUUUCUUUAAUCAAGAACGAUAGUCGGAGGUUCGAAGACGAUCAGAUACCGUCCUAGUUUCGACUGUAAACUAUGCCAGCUAACGAUCAGGCAGCGUUCUCUACGACUUGUCUGGCAGUUUCCGGGAAACCAAAGCUUUUGGGUUCCGGGGGAAGUAUGGUUGCAAAGCUGAAACUUAAAGGAAUUGACGGAAGGGCACCACCAGGAGUGGAGCCUGCGGCUUAAUUUGACUCAACACGGGGAAACUCACCCGGCCCGGACACAGUGAGGAUUGACAGAUUGAGAGUUCUUUCUUGAUUCUGUGGGUGGUGGUGCAUGGCCGUUCUUAGUUGGUGGAGCGAUUUGUCUGGUUAAUUCCGAUAACGAACGAGACUCUGGCAUGUUAAAUAGUCGCGGGAGUCAUUAUGACUCGCUUUGAUGACUUCUUAGAGGGACAAGUGAUUCUAAUCACACGAGAUUGAGCAAUAACAGGUCUGUGAUGCCCUUAGAUGUUCGGGGCCGCACGCGCGCUACAAUGAGUCGAUCAACGAGCGUAUAUUUAUAUCCAAGUGCGAAAGCUCGAGGUAAUCCGUUGAACCCGACUCGUGCUAGGGAUAGGGAAUUGUAAUUGUUUCCCUUGAACGAGGAAUUCCCAGUAAGCGCAAGUCAUCAGCUUGCGUUGAUUACGUCCCUGCCCUUUGUACACACCGCCCGUCGCUACUACCGAUUGAAUGGUUCAGUGAGCAAAUCAGACUGAAAACUUGGCAACUGGCAACAGUUGACGUGAAUUUUAGAAAGACGUGCAAAACUUGUCCCUUA